CAUGCUCACACACAAACCUGUUUUCAGUGGGUGUCCAAAAGGGGGAGCGCUAUAUUCCUCUCUUCAUCAUACUUAUUGCUUAAGAUUUUUGUGCAUCUUGAUGCUCUAGUAGUUAUGGAGCCCACUUGUAACAGGAUGGCACCUUUCCAGUGUUUGCAUUAGUGCUUGGUGGAGCAGUUUCACGGUUGCCUAGAUUGAACAGUUUGUCAGUUUAAAAUGGCUUGUCAUGUUGACUUUUGCAUUUCAUGUACUGUAUAUUGUUGCCAAGUGCUGGGUUUGAGUGACACUGUGUUUGCCAUAAAUCAGGCCACAAAAACCAUUCAUUUCCUACAAUGAUAUAGUUUUAAAGCAUCGGGCAAUGCUGAUGCCAUUUUUUUGGCAAUACAGUACAUCACAGUAUGUGGUGGGAGAGGUAAGGCACCACAGCAAGAACAGCCAUCUGAGGUUGUAUGCUUUUAACUGAUUGACGUCAGAGUCAACAUAAAAUCUAUUUGUUCUAAAUUGACAAUCUGGAAUAUGUGAACCCUACUGGCCUUCUAAAGUAAAAUCAUUAUUGGCCAAGAACAGAUCUCAAAUGUUUCAUUGAGGUUAAGAAUACUUUGAUAAGAAUUCAAUAAUCAGGUUAAGGUUAAGAGGAGAAAAUAUUGGGGUUUCUGGAAGUUUAGAUGUUGUAGUUGAGACUGAAAUAUUUUCACUGCUGGGAUACUUGACGGUUGAUGUCAGUACAACUUCUGAAUCCAGUCUCUGUUGUUACCCGGACUAAUAACCCAACAGAACCUUUUGAAUUAAGGUCUGACUUUUGAAAAUAGUACACAAUAGUUGUUUUUAGCUGAAUAAGAAUUAAAUUUCUGUUGGAGUUAAUUGUUUAACAAUAACUUGCUAGAAUAAGAAACCCAAGAGUUUGUCUCCUUUAUCACUGUAUAUUUUUAAAGUACACUGCAUUCUGACUGUUGCGUGCCUUCAAGUCCUUUCCAACUUAGAGUGACCCUUUCACAUUUUAGCAAGAUUUGUCCAGGGGGUAUUUGCCUUGCUUUCUUCUCAUGCUGAGAGAGUGCAUUUUGCCUAAGGUCACCCGGUGGGCUUCCACGGCUGAGUAGGGAUUAAAAACUGGUUUCCAGAGUUGUAGUCCAGUGUUAAUAAUAAUAAUAAUAAUAAUAAUAAUAAUAAUAAUAAUAAUAAUAAUAUGAAUGUCUGUACACUGAUAUCUUAAAUAUGUCAAAAAG
This is a non-coding RNA of Anolis sagrei ordinatus, 1223 nucleotides long. The record is from RefSeq and is a predicted model, not a curated record. Lineage: Eukaryota; Metazoa; Chordata; Lepidosauria; Squamata; Anolidae.